This 445-nucleotide ribosomal RNA is filed under the name uncultured bacterium. Its description in RNAcentral is "partial 16S ribosomal RNA". It matches the Rfam family "Bacterial small subunit ribosomal RNA", at positions 354 to 796 of the family's 1533-position model. The record is from RNAcentral.
GUGAGGAAUAUUGGUCAAUGGGCGAGAGCCUGAACCAGCCAAAUCGCGUGAAGGAAGACUGCCUUAUGGGUUGUAAACUUCUUUUAUACAGGAAUAAAAAAGGGGACGUGUCCCUUAUUGCAUGUACUGUAUGAAUAAGCAUCGGCUAACUCCGUGCCAGCAGCCGCGGUAAUACGGAGGAUGCGAGCGUUAUCCGGAUUUAUUGGGUUUAAAGGGUGCGCAGGCGGGCUUUUAAGUCAGCGGUGAAAUCUCGGGGCUUAACUCCGAAACUGCCGUUGAAACUGGGAGUCUUGAGUAUGGAUGAAGUAGGCGGAAUUCGUUGUGUAGCGGUGACAUGCUUAGAUAUAACGAGGAACUCCGAUUGCGUAGGCAGCUUACUAAGCCAUAACUGACGCUCAAGCACGAAAGCGUGGGGAUCAAACAGGAUUAGAUACCCCGGUAGUCC